RNAcentral lists this ribosomal RNA (498 nucleotides) under uncultured bacterium. RNAcentral describes it as "bacterial SSU rRNA". It matches the Rfam family "Bacterial small subunit ribosomal RNA", at positions 28 to 515 of the family's 1533-position model. The record is from RNAcentral.
GACGAACGCUGGCGGCGUGGAUUAGGCAUGCAAGUCGAACGGUAGGAUACCUUCGGGUAUCUGAGAGUGGCGAACGGGUGAGUAACACGUAGGUGAUCUACCCUCAAGAUUGGGACAACCCAGGGAAACUUGGGCUAAUACCGGAUGAAAGCAGCAGUGAUGUUGUUUGAAAGGUGGCGUAAGCUGCCGUUUGGGGAUGAGCCUGCGCUCUAUUAGUUAGUUGGCGGGGUAAAGGCCCACCAAGGCGAUGAUAGAUAGGCGGCCUUAACGGGUGGUCGCCCACACUGGGAUUGAGAUACGGCCCAGACUCCUACGGGAGGCAGCAGUCGAGAAUAGUCUACAAUGGCCGAAAGGCUGAUAGUGCGACGCCGCGUGAACGAAGAAGCCCUUCGGGUGUAAAGUUCUUUUAUAUGUGAGCAGUGCUUUCUAUGUGAACAGCAUGGGGAGAGAGAGUAUUAGCAUAUGAAUAAGCAACGGCUAACUCCGUGUCCCAGCACG